CCUACGGGGGGCUGCAGUGGGGAAUUUUGCGCAAUGGGGGAAACCCUGACGCAGCAACGCCGCGUGGAGGAUGAAAUAUCUUGGUAUGUAAACUCCUUUCGAUGGGGAAGCGGUACCCAUAGAAGAAGCCCCGGCUAACUUCGUGCCAGCAGCCGCGGUAAUACGAGGGGGGCAAGCGUUGUUCGGAUUUAUUGGGCGUAAAGGGUGCGUAGGCGGUUUGAUAAGUCUGAUGUGAAAUCUAUGGGCUCAACCCAUAGUCUGCAUUAGAAACUGUCGGGCUUGAGUAUGGGAGAGGUGAGUGGAAUUUCCGGUGUAGCGGUGAAAUGCGUAGAUAUCGGAAGGAACACCUGUGGCGAAAGCGGCUCACUGGACCAACUGACGCUGAUGCACGAAAGCUAGGGGAGCAAACAGGAUUAGAUACCCUUGUAGUC
RNAcentral lists this ribosomal RNA (431 nucleotides) under uncultured bacterium. RNAcentral describes it as "partial 16S ribosomal RNA". It matches the Rfam family "Bacterial small subunit ribosomal RNA", at positions 338 to 795 of the family's 1533-position model. The record is from RNAcentral.